RNAcentral lists this ribosomal RNA (245 nucleotides) under uncultured bacterium. RNAcentral's name for it is "partial 16S ribosomal RNA". It matches the Rfam family "Bacterial small subunit ribosomal RNA", at positions 524 to 769 of the family's 1533-position model. The record is from RNAcentral.
UACGUAGGUGGCGAGCGUUGUCCGGAAUUAUUGGGCGUAAAGAGCGCGUAGGCGGGAAGGUAAGUCUACUUUAAAAGUGCGGGGCUCAGCCUCGUGAUGGGGUGGAAACUAUCUUUCUUGAGUGCCGGAGAGGAAAGCGGAAUUCCCAGUGUAGCGGUGAAAUGCGUAGAUAUUGGGAGGAACACCAGUGGCGAAGGCGGCUUUCUGGACGGUGUCUGACGCUGAGGCGCGAAAGCCAGGGGAGC